Molecule: ribosomal RNA, 542 nt
Filed under: uncultured bacterium
Lineage: Bacteria
Description: bacterial SSU rRNA
Rfam family: Bacterial small subunit ribosomal RNA
Source: RNAcentral
AGUGGGGAAUAUUGGACAAUGGGCGCAAGCCUGAUCCAGCCAUGCCGCGUGUGUGAAGAAGGCCUUCGGGUUGUAAAGCACUUUUGUUGGGAAAGAAAUCCUGUCGGUUAAUACCCGGCGGGGCUGACGGUACCCAAAGAAUAAGCACCGGCUAACUUCGUGCCAGCAGCCGCGGUAAUACGAAGGGUGCAAGCGUUACUCGGAAUUACUGGGCGUAAAGCGUGCGUAGGUGGUUUGUUAAGUCAGAUGUGAAAGCCCCGGGCUCAACCUGGGAAUUGCAUUUGAUACUGGCAGACUAGAGUGCGGUAGAGGAGAGUGGAAUUCCCGGUGUAGCAGUGAAAUGCGUAGAGAUCGGGAGGAACAUCAGUUGCGAAGGCGGCUCUCUGGACCAGCACUGACACUGAGGCACGAAAGCGUGGGGAGCAAACAGGAUUAGAUACCCUGGUAGUCCACGCCCUAAACGAUGCGAACUGGACGUUGGGUGCAAUUGAGCAUUCAGUGUCGAAGCUAACGCGUUAAGUUCGCCGCCUGGGGAGUACGGU